This 141-nucleotide ribosomal RNA is filed under the name uncultured bacterium. RNAcentral describes it as "partial 16S ribosomal RNA". It matches the Rfam family "Bacterial small subunit ribosomal RNA", at positions 352 to 509 of the family's 1533-position model. The record is from RNAcentral.
CAGUGGGGAAUAUUGCACAAUGGGGGGAAACCCUGAUGCAGCGACGCCGCGUGAGUGAAGAAGUAUUUCGGUAUGUAAAGCUCUAUCAGCAGGGAAGAAAAUGACGGUACCUGACUAAGAAGCCCCGGCUAACUACGUGCC